CGUAGGAGACAAACGUUAUCCGGAGUUACUGGGCGUAAAGGGCGUGUAGGCGGUUUGUUAAGUCUGGCGUGAAAGCUCUCGGCUAAACCGGGAGAGGUCGUUGGAUACUGGCGAACUGGAGGAUGGUAGAGGCGUGUGGAAUUCCGGGUGUAGUGGUGAAAUGCGUAGAGAUCCGGAGGAACACCAGUGGCGAAGGCGACACGCUGGGCCAUACCUGACGCUAAAGCGCGACAGCAUGGGGAGCGAACGGGAUUAGAAACCCCGGUAGUCCAUGCCGUAAACGAUGCCAGCUAGAUGUUCACGCCGCGCAAGCGGCUGGGGUAUCGCAGCUAACGCGAUAAGCUGGCCGCCUGGGGAGUACGGUCGCAAGGCUA
RNAcentral lists this ribosomal RNA (374 nucleotides) under uncultured organism. RNAcentral's name for it is "bacterial SSU rRNA". It matches the Rfam family "Bacterial small subunit ribosomal RNA", at positions 526 to 896 of the family's 1533-position model. The record is from RNAcentral.